UCCGUGUUAACCACGGCAGUCUCUCUAGAGAGCCCAACUGAAUGCUGGCAACUAAAGAUAAGGGUUGCGCUCGUUGCGGGACUUAACCCAACAUGUCACCACACGAGCUGACGACAGCCAUGCAGCACCUGUCUUCCUGUCGUAUUGCUACGAAGACUGUAUCUCUACAGCUGUCAGGAGAUGUCAAACCCAGGUAAGGUUUUUCGCGUUGCUUCGAAUUAAACCACAUGAUCCACCGCUUGUGCGGGCCCCCGUCAAUUCCUUUGAGUUUUAGUCUUGCGACCGUACUUCCCAGGCGGGGUACUUAUUGCGUUAGCUGCGGCUCGGCAGGGGUCAAGACCCGCCAAGCCUAGUACCCAUCGUUUACGGCGUGGACUAC
RNAcentral lists this unclassified non-coding RNA (379 nucleotides) under uncultured Oligoflexales bacterium. Its description in RNAcentral is "contains 16S-23S intergenic spacer region". Lineage: Bacteria; Pseudomonadati; Bdellovibrionota; Oligoflexia; Oligoflexales. The record is from RNAcentral.